AUGAUCAAAAUAACACUUAAUGUUUUAUCAAAAGAGAUAAAUAUACACUUAUAUUCCAAUGGUAAAUUAAUUUAGACAUUAGGGUUUAGAUUUAAGGGCUGGAGUUUAGGAUUUAGGGUUUAGGAUUUAGGGUUUAGGGUUUAGAGUUUAGGGUUUAGGGGUGGAGUUUAGGGUUUAGGGUUUAGAGUUAAGGGGUGAGAUUUAGGAUUUAGGGUUUAGGGUUUAAGAUUUAGGGUUUAGGCUUUAGGGUUUAGAGUUUAGGUUUUAGGGUUUAGAGUUGGGGAGUGGGGUUUUGGGAUAAGAUUUCAAAUUUUGAAAAAUAAAAAAAUUUAAAUUUUUCAACAGAUAAAAUGGUAUUUUGGUCAUUUUAGUUUUUGAAGGCUAUUUUUGUGACAUAAACUUAG
RNAcentral lists this long non-coding RNA (404 nucleotides) under Brassica napus (rape). RNAcentral's name for it is "long non-coding RNA (BNAP_LNC014971)". Lineage: Eukaryota; Viridiplantae; Streptophyta; Magnoliopsida; Brassicales; Brassicaceae. The record is from RNAcentral.